GGGGCGCGGGAAGUGAUGCAGGUCUUCGGAUCGUAAAACUCUGUUAUUAGGGAAGAACAUAUGUGUAAGUAACUGUGCACAUCUUGACGGUACCUAAUCAGAAAGCCACGGCUAACUACGUGCCAGCAGCCGCGGUAAUACGUAGGUGGCAAGCGUUAUCCGGAAUUAUUGGGCGUAAAGCGCGCGUAGGCGGUUUUUUAAGUCUGAUGUGAAAGCCCACGGCUCAACCGUGGAGGGUCAUUGGAAACUGGAAAACUUGAGUGCAGAAGAGGAAAGUGGAAUUCCAUGUGUAGCGGUGAAAUGCGCAGAGAUAUGGAGGAACCCCAGUGGCUGCAGACGA
RNAcentral lists this ribosomal RNA (340 nucleotides) under Staphylococcus sp. RNAcentral describes it as "bacterial SSU rRNA". It matches the Rfam family "Bacterial small subunit ribosomal RNA", at positions 394 to 724 of the family's 1533-position model. Lineage: Bacteria; Bacillati; Bacillota; Bacilli; Caryophanales; Staphylococcaceae. The record is from RNAcentral.